AGUGAACGCUGGCGGUAGGCCUAACACAUGCAAGUCGAACGGCAGCACAGUAAGAUCUUGCUCUUACGGGUGGCGAGUGGCGGACGGGUGAGGAAUACAUCGGAUUCUACUUUUUCGUGGGGGAUAACGUAGGGAAACUUACGCUAAUACCGCAUACGACCUACGGGUGAAAGCAGGGGUUCUUCGGACCUUGCGCGAUUGAAUGAGCCGGUGUCGCAUUAGCUAGUUGGCGGGGUAAAGGCCCACCAAGGCGACGAUCCGUAGCUGGUCUGAGAGGAUGAUCAGCCACACUGGAACUGAGACACGGUCCAGACUCCUACGGGAGGCAGCAGUGGGGAAUAUUGGGCAAUGGGCGAAAGCCUGACCCAGCAAUGCCGCGUGAGUGAAGAAGGCCUUCGGGUUGUAAAGCCCUUUUGUUGGGAAAGAAAAGCAGCAGGUUAAUACCCCGCUGUUCUGACGGUACCCAAAGAAUAAGCACCGGCUAACUUCGUG
RNAcentral lists this ribosomal RNA (492 nucleotides) under uncultured bacterium. Its description in RNAcentral is "partial 16S ribosomal RNA". It matches the Rfam family "Bacterial small subunit ribosomal RNA", at positions 29 to 507 of the family's 1533-position model. The record is from RNAcentral.